RNAcentral lists this ribosomal RNA (433 nucleotides) under uncultured bacterium. RNAcentral describes it as "partial 16S ribosomal RNA". It matches the Rfam family "Bacterial small subunit ribosomal RNA", at positions 29 to 507 of the family's 1533-position model. The record is from RNAcentral.
AACGAACGCUGGCGGCAUGCCUAACACAUGCAAGUCGAACGAGACCUUCGGGUCUAGUGGCGCACGGGUUCGUAACGCGUGGGAACCUGCCCUUAGGUUCGGAAUAACUCCCCGAAAGGGGUGCUAAUACCGGAUAAUGUCUUCGGACCAAAGAUUUAUCGCCUUUGGUUGGGCCCGCGUUGGAUUAGCUAGUUGGUAGGGUAAAAGCCUACCAAGGCGACGAUCCAUAGCUGGUCUGAGAGGAUGAUCAGCCACACUGGGACUGAGACGCGGCCCAGACUCCUACGGGAGGCAGCAGUGGGGAAUAUUGGACAGUGGGCGAAAGCCUGAUGCAGCAAUGCCGCGUGAGUGAUGAAGGCCUUAGGGUUGUAAAGCUCUUUUACCCGGGAUGAUAAUGACAGUACCGGGAGAAUAAGCUCCGGCUAACUCCGUG